Long non-coding RNA from Oncorhynchus tshawytscha (Chinook salmon), 3337 nucleotides. Lineage: Eukaryota; Metazoa; Chordata; Actinopteri; Salmoniformes; Salmonidae. The record is from Ensembl.
GUUUUCAAGCCCUGCCACAUCCGACGAGCGUCGGAGCUGGUGUAGUAUGAUUCAAUCUUAGCCCUGUAUUGAUGGUUUGCCUGUUUGAUGGUUUGACGCAGGCCAUAGCGGGAUUUCUUGUAAGCUUCCGGGUUAGAGUCCCGCACCUUGAAAGCGGCAGCUCUACCCUUUAGCUCAGUGCGAAUGUUGCCGGUAAUCCAUGGCUUCUGGUUGGGGUAUGUACGUACAUACAGUCACCUUGGGGACGAGGUCCUCAAUGCACUUAUUGAUAAAGCCAGUGACUGAUGUGGUGUAUUCCUCAAUGCCAUCGGAAGAAUCCCGGAACAUGUUCCAGUCUGUGAUAGCAAAACAGUUCUGUAGUUUAGCAUCUGCUUCAUCUGACCACUGUCACUGGUGCUUCCUGCUUUAAUUUUUGCUUGUAAGCAGGAAUCAGGAGGAUAGAGUUGUGGUCGGAUUUACCAAAUGGAGGGCGAGGGAGAGCUUUGUACGCGUCUCUGUGUGUGGAGUACAGGUGAUCUAGAAUUUUUUUCCCUCUGGUUGCACAUUUAACAUGUUGAUUUGGUAGAACUGAUUAAAGUCUCCGGCCACUAGGUGCGCCGCCUCUAGGUGAGUGGUUUCCUGUUUGCUUAUUUCCUUAUACAGCUGACUGAGUGUGGUCUUAGUGCCCACAUCUGAUUGUGGUGGUAAAUAAACAGCCACAAACAGUAUAGCUGAGAACUUUCUAGACAAGUGGUGUGGCCUGCAAUUUAUCACUAUAUACUCUACUUCAGGCGAGCAAAAUCUAGAGACUUCCUUAGAUUUUGGGCACCAGCUGUUGUUUGCAAAUAUGCACAGACCGCCACGCCCUUAACAUAGGACAUUACAGUUUUUGGUGUCCCGUUGGUAGGAUAUUCGUGAUCGUACCUCGUCUAGUUUAUUGUCCAAUGAUUGCAUGUUGGCGAGUAAUAUUGACAGUAACGGCAGCUUUCCUACUCGCCUUCUGCGGGUCCUGACGAGGCAUCCGGUUCUUCGUCCUCUGUACCUGCGUCACUUCCUCUUGCGAAUAACUGGGAUGUCGGCCCUGCCGGAUGUUUGGAGAAUAUCAUGUGAGUCUUGCUUGUUGUUGAAAAAAUAUUUGUCUAAUCCGAGGUGAGUGAUCUCUGUCCUGAUAUCCAGAAGCUCUUUUCUGGCGUAAGAUACGGUUGCAGAAACAUUAUGUACAAAAUAAGUUACAAAUAACGCGAAAAACCCCCACAUAAUAGCACAAUUGGUUGGGCACCCGUAAAACUGCUGCCAUUUUAGAAUGGCGGCAGAAAUAGAGAUGAAGCAAGGUUUAUUUAAACAACAAUUACAAAACAUGAUAAUGGUCAACCCUGAAUUUAAAAGCACAUUGAAGCUGAGCAGUUCCAUUCUAGCCAAAUUUGACUUCAAAACAAGUUAAGCUAAUUUACUUGACCCUACAUCCAAGAACAAAACAAAGCACACAUCUUAACUACAAUUCUAAGAAUGGUAUGUAAUAACCUUUUAAAUAUUUAAUUAUAUCAGAAUGAUAAAUUAAUGGUUAUAAACUGAGGAACUGACUUCUGUGAAGUGACAGCUGGUUUGGCCCCAUUGUACUGUUGUUGCACAGCAGUCUUUCUGUUGCACUAUUUCCUAGUAGCUCUUCUGGUUAAUGUUGAGACUGGAGAAAGGUGUGGCUGCUGAUCUGGACCAUUGACCAAUCUCUGGUGAAUCCUAUAGACCUCUGAGCCAGGGCUUUUGUCAGUUGUACCUGUGUUGACUUUGGGCAGAGUUGUGUUUAGAGUUGCCAACUGCUCCUGUUUUGAGUUUGGGUGUGGCCGUCUUGCUUGAGAGUCAUGUGCUCCUUGAACACAAUCGUCUUGCGUUGCUCACAGGCUUUCUUAUAGUUAAAGUAGGGACCUAAGCCAUUGCUGACACUCUCCAUGACACCCUGUGCUAUGGCUCUGAAGUUACAAGACUGCUCUUCCUUCUCCUCACGCUUGGCCUCCUCCUUCUCUCUCAGGCUCUGUAUCUCCUCAUUCAUGGCUGCCUCUUUCUCUGUGAAGCCAUUAGCCAUCAGCUUUUCCUGCUCAUGGAGCUUGCUAGCUAGUGCUCGCUCCAACUCCUGUGGCUCCUCCUUCGCCUCCUGGAGUAUCUUAGCCUAGAUUCACAGAGGGAGAACAACACAGACAUCAUGGUUAUGGAUUUGCAGGCAAACUGAUAGAUUUUUGGUCUGAAAACUAUUCGAACACAAUUGUGGCCUGUUAUCAGAGAUUGAAGUAAGAGGAACGUCAGGCCACAAAGGCAAAAUGGGGUUUCCAGAUGUAAAUCAGUUAGACUACUACUACUACUUACAUAAACACAAACAGAUUCAAAGUGGAUUCAAAACAACAUGUAUUCAUAAACUGAUUUAAGACUAAUUAUAUAAUAUUCAAAUGAAUUAUCUGCCUCUAGGCAACAUUCUCAAAGAAUAUAAGACCAUAAAAAUAUAUGUAACACUUUCAUAUAAAGCGGAUACUGAUUCUAAGUGUGGCUAUCAACUUGACUUUCUGCUUUACAUUGAUAAAGCUAGCAAAUGUGUACAUGCUCAGGUAAUACACAAUGUUUCUACUUCAUAAAAGCUACCUUCAUGAGCGUAUAUUGAAAUAGUGUUGGCAGCAUCCAAUCCAAAUCGAAGAACAGGCAUGACUGUAGACUCAAGGCAACCACAUCCUUCCUUCUCAGGUUUGUUGCUAUUCUUGAACUCCUCUAUCUCCUGUCUCAUUAAGUCAGCCUUCUCCUUGUGGCCCUUCUCCAGUAGAUCCUUCUGCUCCUGCAUCUUGCACUCCAAGGCCCUGUGGAAGUCCUGUUCCUGUUGCUUCAAAUCCUCUUAUCUUCUCUUCCAUCUGCUUCAACUUCUCGUCUUUGCUUCUGCGAUCGUCCUCCAUGGUGCGCUCCAUCUCCAACCGUUUCUCUCCAGCAGCCUUCUUCUCCUGCUCCAGCACAGCUGAUCCCUCCUUCUCCUGUGAAUGGUACAAAUUAAGAUAUUAUGCUUGCAGGAUGGAAUACUUCUCUAGACUCUUUUCCUUCCGGAACUGUUCAAGAAUCUCCUCAGCCUGCAGAAAACAUCCCCAAAGGCUUCAUGUUUGCCAUCAAACAAUGAUAAAUCUAAAACCGGUUGGAUCUGUUUCCGGUAUGAUGCCUAAAAAAUACAUUAUGGAAGCCACUGUAAAUCAUAACAUAACAGUAACAUUAGAGGUUGAGAGAAAGAACAUGUCAUCUACGACAUGGAAACUGUUCUGAUUUCUUGACUUAAGAAAUCAUGAAAUAUACUUAUGUCACUGAGGGAGAGAGGGGAAUGUAUAAAGUUGACAUUCUG